RNAcentral lists this ribosomal RNA (461 nucleotides) under uncultured prokaryote. RNAcentral describes it as "bacterial SSU rRNA". It matches the Rfam family "Bacterial small subunit ribosomal RNA", at positions 338 to 795 of the family's 1533-position model. The record is from RNAcentral.
CCUACGGGGGGCAGCAGUAGGGAAUAUUGGACAAUGGGCGCAAGCCUGAUCCAGCCAUCCCGCGUGAAGGAUUAAGGUCCUAUGGAUUGUAAACUUCUUUUCUCUGGGAAUAAAAAGUGGGAUUCAUUCCUGCCUUGAAGGUACCAGAGGAAUAAGCACCGGCUAACUCCGUGCCAGCAGCCGCGGUAAUACGGAGGGUGCAAGCGUUAUCCGGAUUCACUGGGUUUAAAGGGUGCGUAGGUGGCUUUGUAAGUCAGUGGUGAAAUGCCGGAGCUCAACUCCGGAACUGCCAUUGAUACUGCUUAGCUUGAAUCAAGUCGAGGUGGAUGGAAUAUUACAUGUAGCGGUGAAAUGCUUAGAUAUGUAAUAGAACACCGAUUGCGAAGGCAGUUCACUAGGCUUGUAUUGACACUGAGGCACGAAAGCGUGGGGAUCAAACAGGAUUAGAUACCCUUGUAGUC